Molecule: ribosomal RNA, 377 nt
Filed under: uncultured Bacteroides sp.
Lineage: Bacteria; Pseudomonadati; Bacteroidota; Bacteroidia; Bacteroidales; Bacteroidaceae
Description: bacterial SSU rRNA
Rfam family: Bacterial small subunit ribosomal RNA
Source: RNAcentral
UGAGGGAAUAUUUGGGGUCAAUGGGCGCAAGCCUGAACCAGCCAAGUAGCGUGAAGGAUGACUGCCCCUAUGGGUUGUAAACUUCUUUUAUGCGGGAAUAACCUCGACCAUGUAUGGUCGUUUGCAUGUACCGCAAGAAAAAGCAUCGGCUAAUUCCGUGCCAGCAGCCGCGGUAAUACGGAAGAUGCGAGCGUUAUCCGGAUUUAUUGGGUUUAAAGGGAGCGUAGGCGGACUAUCAAGUCAGUUGUGAAAGUCAUCGGCUCAACCGCUGAAUUGCAGUUGAAACUGGUAGUCUUGAGUACGCACAAAGUGGGCGGAAUUCGUGGUGUAGCGGUGAAAUGCUUAGAUAUCACGAAGAACUCCGAUUGGCGAAGGCA